UACAGAAGUUGGUUCCAUUAAAACCAAUCUGAAUAUAGAAGUUAGUUCGAUUAAAAACCAAUCUGAAUAUAGAAGUUAGUUACAUUAAAAACCAAUCUGAA
Limulus polyphemus (Atlantic horseshoe crab) is the source of this 101-nucleotide long non-coding RNA. RefSeq lists it as uncharacterized. Lineage: Eukaryota; Metazoa; Arthropoda; Merostomata; Xiphosura; Limulidae. The transcript is spliced from 3 exons. The record is from RefSeq and is a predicted model, not a curated record.